This 872-nucleotide ribosomal RNA is filed under the name uncultured bacterium. Its description in RNAcentral is "bacterial SSU rRNA". It matches the Rfam family "Bacterial small subunit ribosomal RNA", at positions 31 to 898 of the family's 1533-position model. The record is from RNAcentral.
GAACGCUGGCGGCGCGCUUAACACAUGCAAGUCGAACGAGAAGGCGUAGCAAUACGCUUGUAAAGUGGCGAACGGGUGAGGAAUACAUGGGUAACCUACCCUCGAGUGGGGGAUAACCCGCCGAAAGGCGGGCUAAUACCGCGUACGCUUCCGAUCUUGUGGGAUCGGAAGGAAAGCUGUCCCAAGGGGAUGGCGCUCAAGGAUGGGCUCAUGUCCUAUCAGCUUGUUGGUAGGGUAACGGCCUACCAAGGCAUCGACGGGUAGCUGGUCUGAGAGGACGAUCAGCCACACUGGCACUGCGACACGGGCCAGACUCCUACGGGAGGCAGCAGUGAGGAAUAUUGCGCAAUGGGCGAAAGCCUGACGCAGCGACGCCGCGUGGGGGAUGAAGGUCUUCGGAUUGUAAACCCCUUUCGGGUGGGAAGACGGCCCUAGACAACUAGGGCGGACGGUACCACCAGAAGCAGCCACGGCUAACUUCGUGCCAGCAGCCGCGGUAAUACGAAGGUGGCAAGCGUUGUUCGGAUUUACUGGGCGUAAAGGGAGCGUAGGUGGUUAGGUAAGCCCUCCGGGAAAUCUUCAGGCUUAACCUGAAAAGGUCGGGGGGGACUGCCUGGCUAGAGGACGGGAGAGGAGCGCGGAAUUCCCGGUGUAGCGGUGAAAUGCGUAGAGAUCGGGAGGAAGGCCGGUGGCGAAGGCGGCGCUCUGGAACGUUUCUGACACUGAGGCUCGAAAGCGUGGGGAGCAAACAGGAUUAGAUACCCUGGUAGUCCACGCCCUAAACGAUGGACACUAAGUGCCGGCGGGUUACCGUCGGUGCCGCAGCUAACGCAUUAAGUGUCCCGCCUGGGGAGUACGGCCGCAAGGUUGAA